GAUGAACGCUGGCGGCGUGCUUAACACAUGCAAGUCGAGCGAAGCACUUAUGAAAGAUUCUUCGGAUGAUUUCAUUUGUGACUGAGCGGCGGACGGGUGAGUAACGCGUGGGUAACCUGCCUCAUACAGGGGGAUAACAGUUGGAAACGACUGCUAAUACCGCAUAAGCGCACGGUGUCGCAUGACACAGUGUGAAAAACUCCGGUGGUAUGAGAUGGACCCGCGUCUGAUUAGCUGGUUGGUGGGGUAACGGCCUACCAAGGCGACGAUCAGUAGCCGACCUGAGAGGGUGACCGGCCACAUUGGGACUGAGACACGGCCCAAACUCCUACGGGAGGCAGCAGUGGGGAAUAUUGCACAAUGGGGGAAACCCUGAUGCAGCAACGCCGCGUGAGUGAAGAAGUAUUUCGGUAUGUAAAGCUCUAUCAGCAGGGAAGAAAAUGACGG
This 447-nucleotide ribosomal RNA is filed under the name uncultured bacterium. RNAcentral describes it as "bacterial SSU rRNA". It matches the Rfam family "Bacterial small subunit ribosomal RNA", at positions 28 to 457 of the family's 1533-position model. The record is from RNAcentral.